GGAUGUGAGGGCGAUCUGGCUGCGACAUCUGUCACCCCAUUGAUCGCCAGGGUUGAUUCGGCUGAUCUGGCUGGCUAGGCGGGUGUCCCCCUCCUCCCUCACCAAUCCAUGUGCGUCCCUCCCGAAGCUGCGCGCUCGGUCGAAGAGGACGACCUUCCCCCCCUAGGAGAGGGGGCGCAGU
RNAcentral lists this small nuclear RNA (181 nucleotides) under Myotis davidii. RNAcentral describes it as "7SK RNA". It matches the Rfam family "7SK RNA", at positions 1 to 177 of the family's 331-position model. From Rfam's summary of the family: 7SK was discovered as an abundant small nuclear RNA in the mid-70s but a possible function has only recently been suggested. Two independent studies have found that 7SK RNA binds the CDK9/cyclin T complex (known as elongation factor P-TEFb). The record is from Rfam by way of RNAcentral. Lineage: Eukaryota; Metazoa; Chordata; Mammalia; Chiroptera; Vespertilionidae.